Molecule: ribosomal RNA, 446 nt
Filed under: uncultured bacterium
Lineage: Bacteria
Description: bacterial SSU rRNA
Rfam family: Bacterial small subunit ribosomal RNA
Source: RNAcentral
ACCAGACUCCUACGGGAGGCAGCAGUGGGGAAUAUUGCACAAUGGGGGAAACCCUGAUGCAGCGACGCCGCGUGAGUGAAGAAGUAUUUCGGUAUGUAAAGCUCUAUCAGCAGGGAAGAAGAAGGACGGUACCUGACUAAGAAGCCCCGGCUAACUACGUGCCAGCAGCCGCGGUAAUACGUAGGGGGCGAGCGUUAUCCGGAUUUACUGGGUGUAAAGGGAGCGUAGACGGUUAAUCAAGUCUGAAGUGAAAGCCCGCGGCUCAACUGCGGAACGGCUUUGGAAACUGAGUAACUGGAGUGCUGGAGGGGCAGGCGGAAUUCCUGGUGUAGCGGUGAAAUGCGUAGAUAUCAGGAGGAACACCGGUGGCGAAGGCGGCCUGCUGGACAGUAACUGACGUUGAGGCUCGAAAGCGUGGGGAGCAAACAGGAUUAGAUACCCGCGUA